Molecule: long non-coding RNA, 396 nt
Organism: Mastomys coucha (southern multimammate mouse)
Lineage: Eukaryota; Metazoa; Chordata; Mammalia; Rodentia; Muridae
Exons: 2
Source: RefSeq, a predicted model, not a curated record
CACCUGGGCAACAACCUUUGUGUUUGUAGCUAUAUAAGCCCUUUGUGUCCCAAGAGUAAGACUUGAACAGAAUUUUUUAUCUUGUCUCCUACAUUUGUAUCUCCUGAUCCCAAUUUGUCAUUGAUGUUCCCUUCCCUUGAGAACCCUGUUUUUUAAGUCCUGCAGGUCGGGGCAAAGGUGAAGUAGAGAGAUGGAAGGGAAUAGAGAAUUGUCUGAAGUUACACCCAUGUGGCUGCCUAAGCAUUAACUCAAAAAGGACACCAAUAGACAUGCCAGAGUGGAUGGAAGAAGAUCUAAAAGGCCUUACGUCUACACAAAGAUCUACUGACAAGUAAAGAAUGCUUAAACACCAGUUGAUUACUGUUUAUAAUUAAAGCUAAUUGAAAGUGAACACUG